RNAcentral lists this transfer RNA (74 nucleotides) under Lobosphaera incisa. RNAcentral's name for it is "tRNA-Met". It matches the Rfam family "tRNA". Rfam says of the family: Transfer RNA (tRNA) molecules are approximately 80 nucleotides in length. Lineage: Eukaryota; Viridiplantae; Chlorophyta; Trebouxiophyceae; Trebouxiales; Trebouxiaceae. The record is from RNAcentral.
AGCGAGAUAGAGAAGUUGGUUGUCUCGCCAGGCUCAUAAUCUGGAGAUCGUAGGUUCAAGUCCUACUCUCGCUC